CAGAAGUCAAGAAAGGAGGAUGAGAGACAGCAAAGGAACAGAAAAGGAUGAGAACUGAUAGCUGAUGUGGGAUGGAGACACGGUGCCAAAGGGCCCUGGAGGCUGGAGGUUGUGGCUGUGAUACAGAGCCGCCGGAGGGGAACCGGGCCAGUAGGAGAAACCCGACGGGCCCACACCGGGAGCCACGAGGUUCAGUUUGGAAAUCCCGGAGAAGGGAAUCGCGCCGAGCCACCUCGUCCGGGUCGAUGAGCUUGAACUCGCCGUUGGUGCCCUCCCAGGCGAUGCACGACAUGUUGGUGCUGUCAGAGAGGAGCUCCAGCAGGAACUGCCACAGCUGAAUCUGCCCACUGCCUGUGGAUUGGGGGCAAUGACCAUUGAUUUUAUGUCAAAAUAAAUAUAAACUGA
This is a long non-coding RNA of Dicentrarchus labrax (European seabass), 405 nucleotides long. RefSeq lists it as uncharacterized. The record is from RefSeq and is a predicted model, not a curated record. NCBI's taxonomy places the organism in Eukaryota, Metazoa, Chordata, Actinopteri, Moronidae. The transcript has 3 exons.